This 73-nucleotide transfer RNA is filed under the name Neorickettsia helminthoeca str. Oregon. RNAcentral describes it as "tRNA-Phe (GAA) (tRNA-Phe-GAA-1-1)". It matches the Rfam family "tRNA". From Rfam's summary of the family: Transfer RNA (tRNA) molecules are approximately 80 nucleotides in length. Their secondary structure includes four short double-helical elements and three loops (D, anti-codon, and T loops). The record is from Rfam by way of RNAcentral. Lineage: Bacteria; Pseudomonadati; Pseudomonadota; Alphaproteobacteria; Rickettsiales; Anaplasmataceae.
GGCCUGAUAGCUCAGUUGGUAGAGCAAAGGACUGAAAAUCCUUGUGUCACUGGUUCGAUCCCGGUUCAGGCCA